CCUACGGGUGGCUGCAAUGGGGAAUAUUGGGCAAUGGGCGCAAGCCUGACCCAGCAACGCCGCGUGAAGGAAGAAGGCUUUCGGGUUGUAAACUUCUUUUCUGGGGGACGAACAAAUGACGGUACCCUAGGAAUAAGCCACGGCUAACUACGUGCCAGAAGCCGCGGUAAUACGGAGGUGGCAAGCGUUAUCCGGAUUUAUUGGGUGUAAAGGGCGUGUAGGCGGGAAUGCAAGUCAGAUGUGAAAACUAUGGGCUCAACCCAUAGCCUGCAUUUGAAACUGUAUUUCUUGAGUGCUGGAGAGGCAAUCGGAAUUCCGUGUGUAGCGGUGAAAUGCGUAGAUAUACGGAGGAACACCAGUGGCGAAGGCGGAUUGCUGGACAGUAACUGACGCUGAGGCGCGAAAGCGUGGGGAGCAAACAGGAUUAGAUACCCCUGUAGUC
Molecule: ribosomal RNA, 442 nt
Filed under: uncultured bacterium
Lineage: Bacteria
Description: partial 16S ribosomal RNA
Rfam family: Bacterial small subunit ribosomal RNA
Source: RNAcentral